ACGAAGGGUGCAAGCGUUAAUCGGAAUUACUGGGCGUAAAGGGUGCGUAGGCGGUUGUUUAAGUCUGCCGUGAAAUCCCCGGGCUCAACCUGGGAACUGCAUCCGAUACUGGAUGGCUUGAAUUCGGGAGAGGGAUGCAGAAUUCCAGGUGUAGCGGUGAAAUGCGUAGAUAUCUGGGGGAAUACCGGUGGCGAAGGCGGCAUCCUGGACCAUUACUGACGCUGAGGCGCGAAAGCUAGGGGAGCAAACGGGA
RNAcentral lists this ribosomal RNA (253 nucleotides) under uncultured prokaryote. RNAcentral describes it as "partial 16S ribosomal RNA". It matches the Rfam family "Bacterial small subunit ribosomal RNA", at positions 525 to 777 of the family's 1533-position model. The record is from RNAcentral.